Molecule: ribosomal RNA, 468 nt
Filed under: uncultured bacterium
Lineage: Bacteria
Description: partial 16S ribosomal RNA
Rfam family: Bacterial small subunit ribosomal RNA
Source: RNAcentral
GACGAACGCUGGCGGCGUGCUUAACACAUGCAAGUCGAACGGAAAGGCCCUGCUUUUGUGGGGUGCUCGAGUGGCGAACGGGUGAGUAACACGUGAGUAACCUGCCCUUGACUUUGGGAUAACUUCAGGAAACUGGGGCUAAUACCGGAUAGGAGCUCCUGCUGCAUGGUGGGGGUUGGAAAGUUUCGGCGGUUGGGGAUGGACUCGCGGCUUAUCAGCUUGUUGGUGGGGUAGUGGCUUACCAAGGCUUUGACGGGUAGCCGGCCUGAGAGGGUGACCGGCCACAUUGGGACUGAGAUACGGCCCAGAGUCCUACGGGAGGCAGCAGUGGGGAAUAUUGCACAGUGGGCGGAAGCCUGAUGCAGCAACGCCGCGUGCGGGAUGACGGCCUUCGGGUUGUAAACCGCUUUCGCCUGUGACGAAGCGUGAGUGACGGUAAUGGGUAAAGAAGCACCGGCUAACUACGUG